ACGUUGGAAGCAUGCCAGGGUUUCAUUAUCAAGGCGAGUAUGGGACAAGACAAUCGGUACGUCGGGUCAUUAAAAAUAGCCGGAUGGGACUGGGGGGCUAGCACAUUCGUCCUCUGCGAAUCAAGUCCUUGGUUAGGGGGAUAAGUAGCAAGACUGAACUAAAGAAAUGACGGAAGGGCACACAGGAUUGAAGCUGCGGGUGGGUGUGGUUGGCACGGGAACUACCAGGUCCAGACAUAGUAAAGGGUAGACAGGGUGAGGGCUCUUCUGAUCUAUGGGUGGUGGUGCAUGCCCGUCUUAGUUGGUGGAGUGAUCGGUCUGUUGUCCGAUAACGAACGGGACCUAACUGCUAACUAGAUUCUUCGUCUUACGAUUGUUAUCUUCUUAGAGGGACUAUGUAAAAUAAAUACAUGGAAGUUUGAGGCAAUAACAGAGAGAGUAAUGCCCUUAUAUGUCCUGGGCUGCACGCGUGCUACACUGAUGUAUACAACAAGUGCCUAGCCAGACAUGGCAUGGCAAUCUCGAAUAUGCAUCGUGAUGGGGAUAGAUCUUUGCAAUUAUAGAUCUUGAACGAGGAAUUCCUAGUAAGUGCAAGUCAUCAUCUGCAUUGAUUAUGUCCCUGCCCUUUGUACACCCCCCGUCGCUCCUACCGAUACCGGGUGAUCCGGUGAACCUUGGACCUGCAAGGGGAAGAUAAUAACCAUUCUC
RNAcentral lists this ribosomal RNA (708 nucleotides) under uncultured rumen protozoa. Its description in RNAcentral is "bacterial SSU rRNA". The stretch from base 136 to 708 matches the Rfam family "Eukaryotic small subunit ribosomal RNA", at positions 1117 to 1742 of the family's 1831-position model. The record is from RNAcentral.